Molecule: ribosomal RNA, 473 nt
Filed under: uncultured bacterium
Lineage: Bacteria
Description: partial 16S ribosomal RNA
Rfam family: Bacterial small subunit ribosomal RNA
Source: RNAcentral
AACGAACGUUGGCGGCGUGGAUUAGGCAUGCAAGUCGUACGAGUUUCCUCUGGGUAACUGGAUGAAAAAAGUGGCGAAAGGGGCAGUAAGGCAUGGAUAAUCUACCCUGAUGACCGGGAUAGCUGUCCCAACGGGCAGGUAAUACCGGAUUAGCUGGUGGGGCCGCAUGGUUCUGCCAGGAUAGGCGCAAGCCGUGUCGGGAGGAAUCCAUGGGCUAUUAGCUAGUUGGUGGGGUAAAGGCUCACCAAGGCGAAGAUGUCUAGCGGGUGUGAGAGCACGAAGAGCGGCAUUGGCACUGAGAGACUGGCAAGAGUCCUACGGGAGGCUGCAGUGGAGGAAGUUCGGCAAAGGGAGAAAGCCUGACUGAGGAACGCCGCGUGAGCGAUGAAGGCCAUUAGGUUGGAAAGAUCUGUCGAGGGGAAACAAGCCGCAAGGUUGAGUGAUCCCUGGAGGAAGCACGGGCUAAGUUCGUG